CCUCACUUUACAAAAGAAGAAAAUAAGGCUCAGAGAGUGACACUUGCCCAGGGUCACACCAUUGACUGGUAACAAAGGACUAGAACACAGCCCUUUGACUACACCGAAAUAUGAUCGCCCAUCAGAUGGGGUCUCGCUGUGUUGCCCAGACUGAUCUCCAACUCUUGACCUCAAGGGAUCCUGCUGUGUAGUUGGGAUUACAGAUUACUAUGCAUUAGAAAAAUGUUGGAAAGGAUAAAAGAGGACAAAGAAGAAAAUGAAAAUCAUAGAUAAUAUUAAAAACUUUACCUAAAAAUAAACCUGUGAACUAUUUUAUUUAUAUUCUUAUCCAGCUUCUUAUGUCAUCUUUAUUGUUAUGGUA
This 361-nucleotide long non-coding RNA is filed under the name Callithrix jacchus (white-tufted-ear marmoset). RNAcentral describes it as "lncRNA (ENSCJAG00000078582.1)". Lineage: Eukaryota; Metazoa; Chordata; Mammalia; Primates; Cebidae. The record is from RNAcentral.